This is a non-coding RNA of Canis lupus familiaris (dog), 83 nucleotides long. NCBI's taxonomy places the organism in Eukaryota, Metazoa, Chordata, Mammalia, Carnivora, Canidae. The record is from Rfam.
ACCUGAGUGGCUCAGUGGUUGAGCAUCUGUCUUCGACUCUGGGCAUGAUCCCAGGGUCCUGGGAUCGAGUCCCACAUCAGGUU